Molecule: ribosomal RNA, 330 nt
Filed under: uncultured Planctomycetota bacterium
Lineage: Bacteria; Pseudomonadati; Planctomycetota
Description: bacterial SSU rRNA
Rfam family: Bacterial small subunit ribosomal RNA
Source: RNAcentral
UGCGUAGGCGGCCUUCCAGGUCCGGUGUGAAAUCUCACGGCUCAACCGUGAAAUGGCGCUGGAAACCGGAAGGCUUGAGUGUGCUAGGGGUGUGUGGAACUUCCAGUGGAGCGGUGAAAUGUGUUGAUAUUGGAAGGAACGCCGGUGGCGAAAGCGACACACUGGGGCACAACUGACGCUGAGGCACGAAAGCUAGGGUAGCGAACGGGAUUAGAUACCCCGGUAGUCCUAGCCGUAAACGCUGAGUACUAGUUGGGAGGGGUUUCGGCCUCUCCGGACGCAGAGAAAUCAUUAAGUACUCCGCCUGGGGAGUAUGGUCGCAAGGCUGAA